This is a long non-coding RNA of Dicentrarchus labrax (European seabass), 795 nucleotides long. RefSeq lists it as uncharacterized. The record is from RefSeq and is a predicted model, not a curated record. Lineage: Eukaryota; Metazoa; Chordata; Actinopteri; Moronidae. The transcript has 3 exons.
AUGACAGCUAUCAGUGGUGCUUUCCUUUAUGUCUUUUUUAAACACUUGGCCGUAAUCCUUUAUAAUAUUAUAAUAUUGUAUAAUUAGUUGUUUUGUGGGUUUGUAAGUUUGUGCUUCUGCUCCGUUUCUGUGAUUGCAGCGUUUUUCUGUUGCAUUUGUUUUAUGUGUUUGUGUGUUUUUGGAUUUUCAUCAUUCCUGUGUUUGAAGCGUUUUGCCGUUUGCAGCGCGUUUGCCCUUAUCGGCCACCGUAGGUAAGAGUCACUUCUUUGUUGUUCUCUCUCUCUUGUGUUUUCUGUGAAUUGUAUUUCAUGUUCGUGUGAGAAAGUGUUUCUUCCACUGUAUUCAUGUUGUUAAUAGUAUGCAUGGUGGGUUGACCUGUUUACGGUUUUAUGUUGUUUUACAGAAAAUGGCGAAAUAUACUUUGCCAACGAAGUUUCCCGCACUAAACGUUGAUGUGGUCGAGAGCGUCCGACAGACGCUCCAGUUGUCUUCUUAUGCUGUCAUAGAUCCAACUGUGACAAGGGAAAGUCUGUACAGUACAGUGCUUAAUUCCCAUGGAUUUGCUUUGGAAGCAAUAAUACGGGAAGUGAGGCAGAGAAAGGCUGCAGAGCAAGAGGUCUCUUCAUUGAGACUGCAGAUGUCUGCAUUGAGAUUGCAGUUGAUUGCCUUGGGAAGAAGAAGUUGGAGCUGCUCUUUCUCAGCGAUGGUCAAUGGGGGAUCCUCAGGGUGAGGUGGAGGUUGUGGUUAACCAGGAGGUAGAGGAUUAUAGUUUUUAUAUAAUAAAGGUUUUUCACA